RNAcentral lists this small RNA (117 nucleotides) under Marmota monax (woodchuck). Lineage: Eukaryota; Metazoa; Chordata; Mammalia; Rodentia; Sciuridae. The record is from RNAcentral.
GCUGGGUGUAGUGGUGUGCAUCUGCAGUCUCAGUUAUUCAGGAGGCUGAGGCAGGAGGAUCUUUUGAGCCCAGGGGUUAGAGGCCAGCCUGAGCAAUAUAGAGAUACCCUGACUCUA